Long non-coding RNA from Juglans microcarpa x Juglans regia, 143 nucleotides. RefSeq lists it as uncharacterized. NCBI's taxonomy places the organism in Eukaryota, Viridiplantae, Streptophyta, Magnoliopsida, Fagales, Juglandaceae. The transcript has 3 exons. The record is from RefSeq and is a predicted model, not a curated record.
AUCAUGAAUUUGUUAAGUUGACGUCUCAACUUUUUUUGCAGUACAUGGAAUGUGAAGCAGAUAAGAAACCAUCCCAGCUUGUUGAUCUUCUUAUCAAGAACAAGUAAACAAAAAUUAUAAAAUAUUACAUGACUUGUGCUUGU